Molecule: small RNA, 2968 nt
Filed under: Pan troglodytes (chimpanzee)
Lineage: Eukaryota; Metazoa; Chordata; Mammalia; Primates; Hominidae
Description: retained intron
Source: RNAcentral
UUAAUGAGGGAAACGUUAAAAUAUGGAACCCAAUCUCAGACAAAUACAUAGAAAGGAGUAAGGGCCAACUCUCAUGCAUAAGGUAUCCCAUCCUAUAGCAAAUCAGAUAUAUAGGUACGCUUGAUGCCACAAAUUUUUUUAAAAAUUGUCCAUUUUGUUGCGUGUGCACCUCUUGCCAUAAAUUUGAGUCAGCACCAGCGACAGCUCUGCAGUCCUCCUAUGUGGUACUGAUCAGGUGGUUGCAGAGCUUCAGCUCACAGCAACACAAUGCAGCUGAGCAGGCAAGCACAGCCCACAGCCAGAAACAGUUCCGACUCUACAGAACAAGACGACCUUUAAGUUUCCCAGAGAAAAUGAGAUGCUGAUGUUGAAGACGACACCACGGUAAGAUGUUAUUUAAAUCAGUAAAAGGCUGACUUUGGAAUCUUUUUCCUUUUUCUUUUAAGAAAAAGUCAACGUUAGGAUUAAAUAUAUAUUCAAUAGCAAGUGCAUGCACCAGAAAUUUGCUGCAGUGUCAGUUGAGGGAUAUUUUUUAUACAUUCAGUCACUUUGUAAAUAUACAUAUUGUUUUCCUUUAAAAUGGGCACUGAAAUAUACAGAAAAAAAUCACUUUAUAAAAUGUGAGGUUUAUAGGUACUGUGUUGGUCUGGAUUUUUCAAGUGCUUUUUACAAAGAUAUAUUUAUCCUAAAAACAUACAGAUAAAAUUUCGAAGAACUGCUUUAAUAUCUAAAUAAAAUCUACCCUAUAUACACACAUUGAAUUACAUUACUGCAGAGAUUAAAAAAAAAAGACACGACAGCCAUUUUUUCUCAUCUGAGUAUGAAAGCAUAUCAUCAAAAAUAGUAAUAGCCUACAACUGCAACUAUUUAUUUGCAAAGAAUGCUAUUUUAUCAUAUUAAGGCUCUAGAAAGAUAAAUAAGAAAGAAUAUGGUUAGAAAAGGGGGGAGGGAGAGAGAAAAUAAAGGAGAAAAUGCAGGAGAGAGUAGGGAGAGAGUCUCUCUCUACCACAUAGCCCAAUUGAAGGAUUAAGCAUUUGGACUAUAAAUGAAGGGGAGCUUUGUUAGUUUAAUCACUGGAACAAUUAUAAAAGGACUCAACAACAACGAGGUUUAUUGAAAAUUUUGCCUAAUGCUAACUGACCCAUGCAGAUGCCUAAACUGUAUUUGCAUAUUAAAAGAAGGGUGUAUCUGUUUGUUUCUAGGCUUUGAUGGAAUAUCAGAUAUUGAAAAUGUCUCUCUGCCUGUUCAUCCUUCUGUUUCUCACACCUGGUAUUUUAUGCAUUUGUCCUCUCCAAUGUAUAUGCACAGAGAGGCACAGGCAUGUGGACUGUUCAGGCAGAAACUUGACUACAUUACCAUCUGGACUGCAAGAGAAUAUUAUACAUUUAAACCUGUCUUAUAACCACUUUACUGAUCUGCAUAACCAGUUAACCCAAUAUACCAAUCUGAGGACCCUGGACAUUUCAAACAACAGGCUUGAAAGCCUGCCUGCUCACUUACCUCGGUCUCUGUGGAACAUGUCUGCUGCUAACAACAACAUUAAACUUCUUGACAAAUCUGAUACUGCUUAUCAGUGGAAUCUUAAAUAUCUGGAUGUUUCUAAGAACAUGCUGGAAAAGGUUGUCCUCAUUAAAAAUACACUAAGAAGUCUCGAGGUUCUCAACCUCAGUAGUAACAAACUUUGGACAGUUCCAACCAACAUGCCCUCCAAACUACAUAUCGUGGACCUGUCUAAUAAUUCUUUGACACAAAUUCUUCCAGGUACAUUAAUAAACCUGACAAAUCUCACACAUCUUUACCUGCACAACAAUAAGUUCACAUUCAUUCCAGACCAAUCUUUUGACCAGCUCUUUCAGUUGCAAGAGAUAACCCUUUACAAUAACAGGUGGUCAUGUGACCACAAACAAAACAUUACUUACUUACUGAAGUGGAUGAUGGAAACAAAAGCCCAUGUGAUAGGGACUCCAUGUUCUACCCAAAUAUCAUCUUUAAAGGAACAUAACAUGUAUCCCACACCUUCUGGAUUUACCUCAAGCUUAUUCACUGUAAGUGGGAUGCAGACAGUGGACACCAUUAACUCUCUGAGUGUGGUAACUCAACCCAAAGUGACCAAAAUACCCAAACAAUAUCGAACAAAGGAAACAACGUUUGGUGCCACUCUAAGCAAAGACACCACCUUUACUAGCACUGAUAAGGCUUUUGUGCCCUAUCCAGAAGAUACAUCCACAGAGACUAUCAAUUCACAUGAAGCAGCAGCUGCAACUCUAACUAUUCAUCUCCAAGAUGGAAUGGUUACAAACACAAGCCUCACUAGCUCAACAAAAUCAUCCCCAACACCCAUGACCCUAAGUAUCACUAGUGGCAUGCCAAAUAAUUUCUCUGAAAUGCCUCAACAAAGCACAACCCUUAACUUAUGGAGGGAAGAGACAACCACAAAUGUAAAGACUCCAUUACCUUCUGUGGCAAAUGCUUGGAAAGUAAAUGCUUCAUUUCUCUUAAUGCUCAAUGUUGUGGUCAUGCUGGCUGUCUGAGGGUCUGCAUUUUCUGAAACUAAUGAAAGCACUCCUCCCUGAUGUACAGUUGGGAAAAUAUGUCCAUAUCUAACCAGUGAUUCGAGCUAUAUUUAAGUAUUCAAGAAAGCCAGUCUUAACAUUUCUGACUCUGAUGUAAAUGAAGUAACUUGUCUUAAAUAAAAGAAAUGCACAAUGUCUUGGUACUUGCUGCUAUUUUACUGUCUUAAUUAAGUAAACUAAUGAGUUUCUUUUAUAAAAAAAAAAAUGUUUUCUUUUAAGGCUUCAAUUUAUUGCACAAAAUAUAAAGCAUCUAAACUUUAAUAUGUAUUUUAUGUAUGUUUACACUGUCAAACAUCUGGAAAAUAAAAGGUCUAUGCUCAUAACUGUGUCAUUUGGCUUUCCAGUCAUACCAACUUUAGCAGAAUCAAAAUGACCUCACCAUUUUUGUUCUAGGA